AGCGAACGCUGGCGACAGGCUUAACACAUGCAAGUCGAGCGGGCACUUUCGGGUGUCAGCGGCGGACGGGUGCGUAACGCGUGGGAACGUGCCCUCUGGUUCGGAAUAACUCAGGGAAACUUGAGCUAAUACCGGAUACGCCCUUUUGGGGAAAGGCUUGCUGCCGGAGGAUCGGCCCGCGUCUGAUUAGCUAGUUGGUGAGGUAACGGCUCACCAAGGCGACGAUCAGUAGCUGGUCUGAGAGGAUGAUCAGCCACACUGGGACUGAGACACGGCCCAGACUCCUACGGGAGGCAGCAGUGGGGAAUAUUGGACAAUGGGCGCAAGCCUGAUCCAGCCAUGCCGCGUGAGUGAUGAAGGCCUUAGGGUUGUAAAGCUCUUUUAUCCGGGACGAUAAUGACGGUACCGGAGGAAUAAGCCCCGGCUAACUUCGU
Molecule: ribosomal RNA, 434 nt
Filed under: uncultured bacterium
Lineage: Bacteria
Description: partial 16S ribosomal RNA
Rfam family: Bacterial small subunit ribosomal RNA
Source: RNAcentral